Boleophthalmus pectinirostris (great blue-spotted mudskipper) is the source of this 880-nucleotide long non-coding RNA. RefSeq lists it as uncharacterized. The transcript has 4 exons. Lineage: Eukaryota; Metazoa; Chordata; Actinopteri; Gobiiformes; Gobiidae. The record is from RefSeq and is a predicted model, not a curated record.
UGAGUAUAAAUAUAUGAGUGCGACAACAACAGCACUGACACUUCUUCUUCUUUACAGACACAUGCCAACAAUGUUUUCAUGAGGUGAUCUUGACUGGGAAAAGCUUAUGCAGUCUUUGAUAUUGUGGAAAACCAGUCCGUCCCCAUUCCUGAGAGUCACGUUGAAAGAGAAUCACAAUUGAGGAAGCAGGUCACAUUUUACAGAGACGGGCGACACUGCAAUAAUGUUCUCAAUUCGGUCUCAGUCGUGUGACUCUUACUCAGAAGAGUUGGUCCAUUUUGAACCUCUGAAAAUGUCCAGAUCCACAGCUCAAAUUGUCACAUUCAAGAACAAAAGGAUUGCUUCUCCAGCCCCAAAACUUACUCGAAAGAGAAGUGACCAAAGUGAGACUAGACGUGGCUCUAGGGGGCGCCAAAAACAGAGACACGGAUAGAGCCUCAGCCUGACGUGGUCCACGCUACAUCAGUCGAACAUGAGAAGACCAAAGAAAUUUACUUCUAAAUGCUACUUAAGAUCAAAUCUGUGUUUCUCAAACUAUGGUACAUGUGACAGCCUGAGUCCAUUGAAUCUACGUUUUGUCCUCUUUUGGAUCAUUUCCUGUUUAGAUCUUCAGUGGAAAUAAUGCAAUCCAUUUUUAGACCUGGUCUAGUCCUAGAUUACACCUGGAAUAGUCCUGUCAUAGACCUGGUUUAGAUCUGGUGGUACAGGGAAAGUGUAAGCUUUUCUUUGGUGGUACUGGAGUGAAAAGUAAAUCAUCUGAUAACUGGACAUGGCUCAUCAUUUUUCUGUUUAUACCCAUCUCCACCUCCUACUGCUUUUAAUUGUGUUCUCUGUGCAGCGACAAACACUAUACAGUGAAUAAAAUGCAUUAUUACUAUGA